UGCAUUACUCUGCCUUUAAACGUGUUCUUCUUAGAGUUAAAUUGUCGAUUGAGAAAAAGGAAAAAACACUUUAAGCACCAAUGUUUAUUGCAUAAAAGCAGACUACAUGCAUAAUUUUGUGCGCGUACUGUAUACAUAUAUACCAUAAAGAACAAUUAAAGCGAUGUAUCUUUAUUUGGGUAUAUAGAUUUGAAUCUCUGUGCCAUUUGAAGCAUUUUUGGGAAAAUAAUCUUAAAACGGUGAUGUAAUUUAGACGCAAAAUAUUUUUUUGCUUUUGUAAACCUAAAAACAAUCAAAUCUUUGUAUAGGAUUUCAUUUAUAACCUCUGGUUUAUGAGCAGUGAACAGACGGUUAAGCAGAGCGGUUCUGUAGUGAAUGUCCACCGCAGAAAGCACAAUCAAUCAAAACUAACCAGGAUACCCUUUGGUUUUAUUUUCUCGAAGAGUCGCGUAGAAGUGGAUUUCUAGUAGUUUACGUAUCCUGAUUCCUCGCCAUAAAACAGCUCCACUUUAAUAUGUUUGUACGAGAAUUGAGAAUUGAGAAAUGAGAAGUAGCACCAACGGUAAUGUUCACAAAAUAACAUCCGUGUGCAUACUCCUACAGCAAAGGUAACAACACUUAAAAGUAACGACGCCUACUACUAACAGCAGUAGUGUUGGAAGUGUAACUGAGCACUUACCAGUAGAAAAAAAUAGAAUUAAAUUGCGCGUUGCUUAAAGCUAGCAGUAUUUCAAGAAAUUACGUUUUUGUGAUUUAAUAUCAUAAAUACAACCUAUGUAAUGAAUGAAAAUCUCCAGAAAGUGUAGCUUUUAUUUAUCACUAACAUAUAAUGUCAUAUUUACAAAUAUUUAGAAUUUAUUCAUUUAUGUGUUUGUGUACUUCUACACCGUGCACUUUGUAGUUGAUUUUGAAUUUGUUCGCUUACUGUGUUUUCUCACGGGUUAACUUUAUCUGCCCCUAUUGGAACAGAUGCCACAUAGAGCUGCUCCCUGAAGAUCAUUUGUUUCCUUGAUGGGGAACAUUUCUGAGCCCAGCAUUUUGGUUGCCAUGGUGAACUGAAUAAAAGAAGGAACACUAGUCACAUUAAGCUAUAUGUUUGUGCACUGGACUUGAGAAUAAAGGGCUUCUAGUUUAGCCAAGAUGAUCUCGCAAGGAAGCCAAACUAACAACUCGGGCCUUCCAUGACAUAACCUAUUAUUUUACCAUGGACAUUUAAAUUUAUUUUAAAACCGUUAAUGGUAGUCUAUUAAUUUAUACAUUUUACGCGAGUUGUUGUUUUUUUUUACAAAACCCCAAAUAACUUUGCAGUUAAAUUGGAGUUAACAAAGAAAAACAUAUCAGACCAGCAGGGGUCGCGCUUAUUCGUGCGCGCAACUUUGGAAUAACUCAUAUGCUACUCAGCAUCACCCUUGAAGCAAGCUCCAAAAUCAGGUAUUGCAUCUGAAGGAGAAUGGACACAAUCUAGACAGUUUUGCCCAUCUUCUGUUUUUUUUUUUCUAAGAAGGAAAGUGCUUUACUGCUUGAAUAUUGAUGCUGCAGGCUGUUUUCUUUGGUAGACUAUAAAGAUAUGCAAAUGCAGUUGUUAAAAUGAAAAAAAGGAGUAGUACAUUUUGUGUUUUUAUUUCUCAUAGUAACAGUUCAUUAUGUGAAGGGCUUCAGGAUUUGCUGUUGUGUUUUAUUGCCUAAUCUUGUUUUGUAGGAGCUAGAAUUGAGCUGUGCAGGUACAGUAGGAAGCAGGAAAUUAAACAUAUUUCAAAACUUUGGCUUGAAAUUCUUGGAGUUCAGCUACAAAUGGGAACAAAAGCAUCUGCAAUCUUUUAAACAUUUGUAACAUGUUGCCAAACAAAUGUACAUCUAAUUUGUAUAUAUUGCAUAAACUUUAAAUAAAAAAAACAGAAGCUUGGAUUUCUUAUACCCUUGAAAUUUCAUUCAUAUUGUAUCCAUUUUGGUAGCGAUUACCAGCACCACAUAAACUGAUUGUUAAAAGGACUAAAUUAAAGGUUUAUACCAGUUUGAGUGGCUUAAAAGUUUACCGGUGCCAUUAAAAACUUUACUAGGCUUCCUCUGCAUGAUAAAUAGGCCUUCCAGAAAAAAAAAUGGUAUUAAGAAAGAAUUAGCAUAACAGGAAAAGCAUUAACCGACCUACGCAGUUCCCAGCAUGCUAGUAUUUAAUGAACGCACCCCUGGACUUGUGAUGAAAAAUAUACUGUAAAAACACAAGUAUUGCUCUUCUUGAAUAUGGACAAAUUCAAGUGGCAUUUUGGAUUUAGUAUUAGCGCACCAUGCAAGUAUAAUUUUUCUUCUCAUAAUGAAACCAGAAAUUAUUACACAAAAAUGUCUGUCAGCUUUUGAUGUCUUUUUUAUAUCUUUCUUGUACUAUUCUGUAUCUCACCUUGCCCAGGCAUUUCAAAUUCAUAAUUUCUGGACAUUUCUGGACAUGUACGGGUAUAUACAGGUAUAUGCAGGUACAUGAAACUGUACAUGAUGAUAAUGCAGAGUCCAUUUCUUCAUGUUGUACCAUUCCUUGUAUUCCUGUAAUCUGACAAGAAGAAAUAUCACAGAUGUUCCUUCAUCUGACUUCUUCAAAAUGUAAACACUUUUUAGACAUAUUUUCACUGGAAUCAACAGUGCCUACUCAGUUCUGUGAAAGUGAGCACACUAGAAUAUGAAAAAAGAAGCCAUAAAUGAAAUAACUGCCAAUUUGGUUGCCUACUGUAUGUACUUGUCUUGGUAAAAAAAUUCAAAAUGCUGAACAUUUUGUUUAGAUUAUUAAUCGGUUUAUAUCUAAACAAAUAAAGUGUAAAUUAGAAUUCAGUUCAAAAUGAUUAGAUCACAGUGUCAAUUAGUUUAUUCUUCAUUAUUAAACAUAUUUUGAAAAAGACUUAGAAUCACUUGAUCAUUUCCAGAAAUAGGUAUUUCCAGCAAACAUAUUGCAGAGAGAAGUUUUUUUUUAAAAGUAAAACUAUGAAAGUAGGCAUGAAAUAAAAUUAUAAACUAAAUGUACUGGCUAACUAACUAAGGUAAGUUGAUUCUCGUUGUUGACAUAAAGACAUUUCGUUUCCAGGUGAAGAGUGAUGUAAGUAAUAUAUGAAACAAAGUUACAUUUUACUUUUGUGUAGUGCCACUGGAUUAUUUUCUUCUGAAUUAUUCAAAUAUUAUCUAUCAAAAUGAAUGCAUAAAAUAAUUAAAUUAUUUAUCUUUAUCAACAUAAUGCUUUUAAACAUAAUUCUAACACAUUCAAGUAACCACUAUAAAGCUGCUUCAUUACAACAGUCUUACCAUGUUUUAGUCUGAUCUUGUCUGAUCUCAGAAGCUAAGCAAAACUGGGCUUGGUCAGUACUGUGAUGGAAGCCCCUUAAGAAAAAAGUUGCUCCUGUAAGGGUGCCACUGACAGGGGGCAUUAUGAUCUAACACCAAGGCCCUGAGUGCUUGGUCAUUAAAAUCAUAAGACAUGCUUUUAUAAAUAAGGAUGUUAACAUGGUGUCUUGUUUACAUUCUUGGGCUGUAACAAUGUGGUCUACCUAAAGCAAUUGUUUUAGUUGUAGGAUUUACAUUUAAUAUUCACCAUAGAACAAUAAGGAAUGUGGUUGCUUUUCAGUUUCAAUGUUCAGAGUGAGCCUCCUUCUCUCAAUAUGCAAUUCAGUACUUAAACUUUUCUCAUGAAAAUAGCUUCUCAAAGGACUUGUUAAAGUUAUCAGCCUGGAAGAAUAUGGAGGAAGGAAAUCAAUAUGAUGAGAGAUGAUAGUAGAUCUUUCCAUGUUCUCCAGAUUUUCAAACUCUUUGCAUUGGAUUUUAUGUUGCUUAGUCACAAUAGCAAAUAUCUAAUAGCAUAAGGUGAAAAAAUAAAAAAAGCACACAGAACACAUAGCACCUACAGUAUAUAUGAGAAUAUGUAACAAGCAGGAAAUAAAUAAAUGCAAAUUAUAUAAGCUGCCUGUUUAUGUUAUUAUCUAAAGCAAAAACAUCCAGUUCAGUCUCAUUUCAUAAAGGUGUGUCAUUUUUAAAGCUUUGAAACACGUGAAAUGUUUUAUUCCAGGAAUGCUUAAAGGAAAAAAAGGGAAUUAAUUUUAAAUUCAAAAGAGUUUCAGAAUCAACACUGUUUCUCCAUAACAUUCAGUGUUUCGUUUCUGCCCCAAAUGUUAAUUGUCAAGUUUGAUCACGACUCUCACAGUAAUAUCCAGGGCUCUCGGGUUCAGUCGCAUACACUGUCUCUGAAGAGCUUCCAACAAAUGAGCUAUUCAGCACCGACAACAGCAAGACUGGAUGUACAGAUAAACACUGAAGCCCUCCUUGUGUUUCCAGUUACUACUGAUGAAUUCCCUUUUAUAUACAUUUGGUUAUGAAAGAGAACCUUUCCAUACUUUGAUGGAUGUUUUUAAAAGACCAAGAUCUAGAAAGAACAUUUUUAGUAGUUUGUCAUUUUUAACUAUGACUAAUACAAACAAUGCAUUUGCAAACAAUGCAGUUUCAAUUCAUUUUCAAAACAGCUGCAGUUCUACACCUAAAGAUUUUCUCCUUAGUUUGAAGAACCUUACUGCUCUCGCACAGAUUGUACAUAAGCUUUGUAGUAAUAAAUCCAGAUUUAAUAUGCAUCUCCAGCAAUUCUUUUUCUGAAUGUCAAUAUUUUAAAAUGACACAUAAAUAAACUGAUUAAACAGAAUGUCAAUUUUCUUAUGACAAAUUACAAAACUAUUGGUUGGAAUUUAUGAACAGUAACUAUUGGUGCAGCACAAUUUUCUCUUUAGAUUACUAUACACUGAUUUUACUGCCCCGUCUCUUUUGUUUGAAUUUGUACCUGUUUCCAAUAUGUGUUUGACUCACUAUAAAUCUUGUUAAAGAGUUGUUAAAUCUUUGUAAUACGUGCUGUAGAAAUGGACCCACUACUCUGCCUAUUACUAGUGUAAAUUGUAUACCUGUGUGUUUUUCCUCGGAAUCUUGCUAAAACAUAAAUACUUUAACUGACUUUUAUUAAUAGCAAAAGCUGUGUUAUAAGCUACAAAGUGUAACCUUACAAAAUGUAAACAUUAUACAUGGUAUAUACUGUAUGUGCACAUAUCAGCGUACUGUAUAUAUUUAUAUAAGCAAUGCGUUGCUUGAUUUCUGCAAUAGCUCUCCUAUUUUUACCGCAGAUUACUGCAAAAUAAUUCUGGGUUUACCUUUUGUGUUUUUAUAUCACCUUGGUAUUCAUCUUCUAUUUUACUUUAUACUACAUUGUUAGUUUAUGUUAAAACACCCAAUUUAUUUUCCCUUAUGAAACAAGAAAACUAUAAGUGAUCUAUGUGCCUCUAUAGAAGUAUUCCAAUGUAAAAACUGAGGCAUUUUAUACAGAACAUUUGGUUAUUUCUAUUAGGGUUAUUGUUCUAAGCGUUGCACUAUGUAUCUUAAAUACAAUUGACUUUAAAAUGUUGAGAACUUAUGGUACAAAUUGUAAUUAUUUUUUGUAAGUCAUCUUAUGUAACAGAGACUGCUAAGUACAUUAACAAUAAUAAUUAUAUAUAGGAUAGGCUCUGGCUUCCCUGCAACCCUGUAUUUGAUAAAGUUGUUUGAAUGGAUGGAUAGAAUAUAUACAACAUAAUUAUAAAAGUUUCUAAUUCACAUUUCACCAUGUAUUUUUUCUGAGCUGUUUCUAGGGGAAAUCUGGUUUGCAUAACUUUAUAGUCAAAUGUCUUCUUCAGCAACAUUCAUAGAAUUUAAAAUGUAAAAUUUAAAUGUAAAAGUUUCUGCAAAUUUUACUGCAAAUCAUAACAAAGAAAUAUCCUUGUUUCAACUAUCAAAUGUCUCGUUGUUUGCCAUUUUCUUUCAAUUUGUUUGUUCCAUGACUUCAGUACUUCUGUAUCCAUUAAAAUAGGCAAUUUUAAAAAUUGGA
Molecule: non-coding RNA, 5866 nt
Organism: Lepisosteus oculatus (spotted gar)
Lineage: Eukaryota; Metazoa; Chordata; Actinopteri; Semionotiformes; Lepisosteidae
Source: RefSeq, a predicted model, not a curated record